UGCCAGACUCCUACGGGAGGCAGCAGUGGGGAAUAUUGCACAAUGGGGGAAACCCUGAUGCAGCGACGCCGCGUGGGCGAUGAAGUAUUUCGGUAUGUAAAGCUCUAUCAGCAGGGAAGAAAAUGACGGUACCUGACUAAGAAGCCCCGGCUAACUACGUGCCAGCAGCCGCGGUAAUACGUAGGGGGCAAGCGUUAUCCGGAUUUACUGGGUGUAAAGGGAGCGUAGACGGCUUGGCAAGCCAGAUGUGAAAGGCUGGGGCUCAACCCCAGGACUGCAUUUGGAACUGUCAUGCUAGAGUGUCGGAGAGGCAGGCGGAAUUCCUAGUGUAGCGGUGAAAUGCGUAGAUAUUAGGAGGAACACCAGUGGCGAAGGCGGCUUACUGGACUGUAAAUGACGCUGAGGCUCGAAAGCGUGGGGAGCAAACAGGAUUAGAUACCCGAGUA
RNAcentral lists this ribosomal RNA (446 nucleotides) under uncultured bacterium. Its description in RNAcentral is "partial 16S ribosomal RNA". It matches the Rfam family "Bacterial small subunit ribosomal RNA", at positions 329 to 792 of the family's 1533-position model. The record is from RNAcentral.